Molecule: ribosomal RNA, 381 nt
Filed under: uncultured marine Chaetocerotaceae
Lineage: Eukaryota; Bacillariophyta; Thalassiosirophyceae; Chaetocerotales; Chaetocerotaceae
Description: SSU rRNA
Rfam family: Eukaryotic small subunit ribosomal RNA
Source: RNAcentral
AGCUCCAAUAGCGUAUAUUAAAGUUGCUGCAGUUAAAAAGCUCGUAGUUGCAUUUCCGAGGCAAGGGAUUAGUCCGACCUUUGGUGGGUAUUUAAUCCUCUUGCCUCGUCCUUGAGUGGUGCUUCUUGGUAUUAAGUUAUCGAGGAGAUAGCCGCUCAUCGUUUACUGUGAGAAAAUUAGAGUGUUCAAAGCAGGCUUAUGCCGUUGAAUAUAUUAGCAUGGAAUAAUAAGAUAGGACCGCGGUACUAUUUUGUUGGUUUGAGAACCAAGGUAAUGAUGAAUAGGGACAGUUGGGGGUAUUCGUAUUCAGUUGUCAGAGGUGAAAUUCUUAGAUUUACGGAAGACGAACUACUGCGAAAGCAGUUACCAAGGAUGUUUUCA